Molecule: ribosomal RNA, 465 nt
Filed under: uncultured bacterium
Lineage: Bacteria
Description: partial 16S ribosomal RNA
Rfam family: Bacterial small subunit ribosomal RNA
Source: RNAcentral
CCUACGGGAGGCAGCAGUAGGGAAUUUUCGUCAAUGGGCGCAAGCCUGAACGAGCGAUGCCGCGUGAGUGAAGAAGGCCUUCGGGUCGUAAAGCUCUGUUGCGGGGGAAAAAAGGCAGCAUCAGGAAAUGGGUGCUGACUGAUGGUGCCCCGCCAGAAAGACACGGCUAACUACGUGCCAGCAGCCGCGGUAAGACGGAGGUGUCGAGCGUUAUCCGGAAGGAUUGGGCGUAAGGGGUGCGCAGGCGGUCCUGCAAGUCUGGAGUGAAACGCAUGAGCUCAACUCAUGCAUGGCUUUGGAAACUGGAGGACUGGAGAGCAGGAGAGGGCGGUGGAACUCCAUGUGUAGCGGUAAAAUGCGUAGAUAUAUGGAAGAACACCAGUGGCGAAGGCGGCCGCCUGGCCUGUUGCUGACGCUGAGGCACGAAAGCGUGGGGAGCAAAUAGGAUUAGAUACCCGGGUAGUC